This 431-nucleotide ribosomal RNA is filed under the name uncultured bacterium. Its description in RNAcentral is "partial 16S ribosomal RNA". It matches the Rfam family "Bacterial small subunit ribosomal RNA", at positions 29 to 507 of the family's 1533-position model. The record is from RNAcentral.
AACGAAGGCUGGCGGCAGGCUUAACACAUGCAAGUCGAGCGCCCCGCAAGGGGAGCGGCAGACGGGUGAGUAACGCGUGGGAACGUACCUUUUGGUUCGGAACAACUCCGGGAAACUGGAGCUAAUACCGGAUAAGCCCUAACGGGGAAAGAUUUAUCGCCGAAGGAUCGGCCCGCGUCUGAUUAGCUAGUUGGUGAGGUAACGGCUCACCAAGGCGACAAUCAGUAGCUGGUCUGAGAGGAUGAUCAGCCACACUGGGACUGAGACACGGCCCAGACUCGUACGGGAGGAAGCAGUGGGGAAUAUUGGACAAUGGGCGCAAGCCUGAUCCUGCCAUGCCGGGUAAAUGAUGAAGGCCUUAGGGUUGUAAAGCUCUUUUGUCCGGGAAGAUAAUGACGGUACCGGAAGAAUAAGCCCCGGCUAACUUCGUG